RNAcentral lists this ribosomal RNA (497 nucleotides) under uncultured bacterium. RNAcentral's name for it is "partial 16S ribosomal RNA". It matches the Rfam family "Bacterial small subunit ribosomal RNA", at positions 28 to 507 of the family's 1533-position model. The record is from RNAcentral.
GAUGAACGCUGGCGGCGUGCCUAAUACAUGCAAGUCGAGCGAACGGACGAGAAGCUUGCUUCUCUGUUGUUAGCGGCGGACGGGUGAGUAACACGUGGAUAACCUACCUAUAAGACUGGGAUAACUUCGGGAAACCGUAGCUAAUACCGGAUAAUAUUUUGAACCGCAUGGUUCAAAAGUGAAAGACGGUCUUGCUGUCACUUAUAGAUGGAUCCGCGCUGCAUUAGCUAGUUGGUAAGGUAACGGCUUACCAAGGCAACGAUGCAUAGCCGACCGGAGAGGGUGAUCGGCCACACUGGAACUGAGACACGGUCCAGACUCCUACGGGGGGAAGCAGUAGGGAAUCUUCCGCAAUGGGCGAAAGCCUGACGGAGCAACGCCGCGUGAGUGAUGAAGGUCUUCGGAUCGUAAACCUCUGUUAUUGGGGAAGAACAUAUGUGUAAGUAACUGUGCACAUCUUGACGGUACCUAAUCAGAAAGCCACGGCUAACUACGUG